This 474-nucleotide ribosomal RNA is filed under the name uncultured bacterium. Its description in RNAcentral is "bacterial SSU rRNA". It matches the Rfam family "Bacterial small subunit ribosomal RNA", at positions 17 to 518 of the family's 1533-position model. The record is from RNAcentral.
UUCUGGCUCAGGAUGAACGCUGGCGGCGUGCCUAACACAUGCAAGUCGAGCGAUUACUUCGGUAAAGAGCGGCGGACGGGUGAGUAACGCGUGGGUAACCUGCCUCAUACACAUGGAUAACAUACCGAAAGGUAUGCUAAUACAGGAUAAUAUAAGAGAUUCACAUGGAUUUCUUAUCAAAGCUCCGGCGGUAUGAGAUGGACCCGCGUCUGAUUAGCUAGUUGGUAAGGUAAUGGCUUACCAAGGCGACGAUCAGUAGCCGACCUGAGAGGGUGAUCGGCCACAUUGGAACUGAGACACGGUCCAAACUCCUACGGGAGGCAGCAGUGGGGAAUAUUGCACAAUGGGCGAAAGCCUGAUGCAAGCAACGCCGCGUGAGUGAUGAAGGCCUUCGGGUCGUAAAACUCUGUCCUCAAGGAAGAUAAUGACGGUACUUGAGGAGGAAGCCCCGGCUAACUACGUGCCAGCAGCUGC